UAACACGUGGGGAACCUGCCCCAUAGUCUGGGAUACCACUUGGAAACAGGUGCUAAUACCGGAUAAGGAAGCGGAUCGCAUGAUCAGCUUUUAAAAGGCGGCGUAAGCUGUCGCUAUGGGAUGGCCCCGCGGUGCAUUAGCUAGUUGGUAAGGUAAAGGCUUACCAAGGCGAUGAUGCAUAGCCGAGUUGAGAGACUGAUCGGCCACAUUGGGACUGAGACACGGCCCAAACUCCUACGGGAGGCAGCAGGU
Molecule: ribosomal RNA, 252 nt
Filed under: uncultured Lactobacillus sp.
Lineage: Bacteria; Bacillati; Bacillota; Bacilli; Lactobacillales; Lactobacillaceae
Description: partial 16S ribosomal RNA
Rfam family: Bacterial small subunit ribosomal RNA
Source: RNAcentral